RNAcentral lists this ribosomal RNA (255 nucleotides) under Triticum aestivum (bread wheat). Its description in RNAcentral is "partial small subunit ribosomal RNA". Lineage: Eukaryota; Viridiplantae; Streptophyta; Magnoliopsida; Poales; Poaceae. The record is from RNAcentral.
ACUAAAGAUAACCUUAUCAAGAGGAAUUGGCAUGGAAGUCCGCGAUGUGUUUUUUGUCAUCAUGAUGAGACAAUAAAACAUUUAUUCUUCCAAUGCAAAUUGGCUCGGUCUAUAUGGUCAGUCAUCCAUAUAGCUUCUGGCUUGUAUCCUCCUUGUAGUGUUGCCAAUGUAUUUGGCAACUAGUUACAUGGGAUUAAUCACAGGUUUAAAACUCUUCUUAGGGUGGGAGCGCUAGCCGUUAUUUGGUCGCUUUGA